GCCCAUGUAGCUCAGUCGGUAGAGAGUUAGGUUUUUGACCUCAAUGUUCAGGGUUAGGCACCCUGCGUGGGCG
RNAcentral lists this transfer RNA (73 nucleotides) under Trichuris muris. RNAcentral's name for it is "snRNA TMUE_0100000051". It matches the Rfam family "tRNA". Rfam says of the family: Transfer RNA (tRNA) molecules are approximately 80 nucleotides in length. The record is from RNAcentral. Lineage: Eukaryota; Metazoa; Nematoda; Enoplea; Trichinellida; Trichuridae.